Molecule: long non-coding RNA, 2045 nt
Filed under: Homo sapiens (human)
Lineage: Eukaryota; Metazoa; Chordata; Mammalia; Primates; Hominidae
Description: HSALNT0398893
Source: RNAcentral
GGAGGCGGCGUUCAGAAAUAGGGCGCUGGCUUUGCCAGGAGCGGCUCCUCUCCAAGCCUGGCGGUCACUGCCCUGUGUCCCCUUUUGGGCCUCUCCUGGUCCUCCUGGUUGGAUUAGGAGGCCUCUCAGCCCGGAGUCUGGGUCGCCGAAGUACAGGCCCCUUCACUGAAGCGACCCACGGCGCAGGGGUUUCUGGAAGCCAUCGCCAGGCUCCGAGUGUUCAGAUGCAGCUGCCAGGCUCAGGACGCAGAGAACUGGCUUCCAGCUCGCAGGAGCGCCUGUCCGUGGUGGGUAGGGUCGCAGGCGUGGGGUGUGCAGGAGCAGUGGGACAGCACUGAAACGCAGUCGGAAGAGAUACCACGGUGUGCAGGCACAGGGAAAAGACCACGUGAGGACACAGAGAGAAGACGGCCGUCUGCAAGCCAAGGAGAGAGGCCUCAGGUGAAACCAAACCUGCAGGCACCUUGAUCUUGGACUUCCAGCCUCCAGAAGCUUGAGAAAAGAAAUUUCUGUUGUUUAAGACACCCAUUCUGUGGUAUUUGUUCUGGCAGCCCUAACAAACUAAUAUAGGGAUCUAAAGAUUCCUUGUCUUCAUUUUGAGUAAGAGACUAUAAACUCAGAACUGUGGAGAUCUAGUUAGGUAUUGUACAGCUAGCCUCAUUCUGUCUUAAACUCCAGGUAAAAGAGAAAAAUAUGGAGACAGCCCCUGACUUUGGAGAACUUGCAGUUUUGUGGAGGUGAAAGGAGGCAGCCACAAGAAAAACCCCUGACAUCAAUUCAAAACUAUAAAUAACAAAGACUAACUUGUUCUAUGCACAACAGGUACUACAGCACUGUCCAACAUGGGGACAUGUGAGUGGCCUGAAGCAGCACAAGAACUGGGCAAUAAACUUGAGAUGAACCUCAAAGCAUCAAUAUUAUUCAUGACUAAACUGGGUUCUAAGAAUUUCUAUUUUUACUCUCAGUGUUCAGUAGAGGUCAUUAAAAAAAAAUCUAGCAAUUUUUUUUUCUAAAAUGAAUAUGUAAUAAGAAUGAAAAACAAAAAGCACUAUAAUGUUUUUAAUUAAUGAAAUGCCUUUACGAACCAAGGUGCCAUCUUGGAGAAGCUAGGCAUUAUGAGGAGCUAUCAGGAGCACAUUUGCUAACAGCUUGGCAUGAGCAGGAUUUUCUUGACCAACUGGCAAGAUGGGGCUGCUCAGCUCCUGCUGGCAGAUUUUUAUGGAGCAUAGUUUUACAAAUUCAGCCUACAACUCUGAUACGUUCCAAUGUAUUUUAAACAUCUAUUCAGUUGCAACUCUAAUCCCAGGAACCUGUGGCUAACAGAAGGCAGAUUUAACUGACUAGCAGCUGUGGGAUUUUCAAAGUCUAAACUGAAAUGAACAUGCGAAACAGUUGGACUACCCCAAAAGCUGAAUUACAAUUCCAGCACUCACCAGCUCUGAAACCUCACUUGGUUACCUAACGCCUCUGUGCCUCAGUUCCCCAGCUAUAAAAUGGAAAAGGCAACAAUACCAACCUUGUAGAUUAUGUUUUGGAUUAAAUGAGGCAACACAUACACAGCACUUAGAACGUGCAAGGCACAAUGGAAGCAUGCAGUGAACAUGACUUGUAAUGAUGCUGACUGUCAUAACUCUCAUCCAUAGGGAUGCUGCCUCUGCUUGUCACCCUUGACCUAUAUAUUUUCAGGCAGUCCUCACCCAGUCCCCAUUUGUGUGUUCUAGAUAGAAAAGGCCCCAUACUAUGAAAUGACUACUGUCCUUCUGCAUGAAGCCUGGUGAACCUGAUAAUGUAGCCUUCAAGUUCCCUUACUGAGCCUUGAGCUCCCUUCAAAGUAUCCAAGCCAACCCUGUCUUGGGAAACUCACCUAGAUAAUGCCCUGAACCCCAAUAAAGGCUCCAGCCCACAGGUCCCUCCCUCUCUCUUGGUCCCCACCCUUUGGCUGGGCAUGUGUGUCCUCAAUGUCUCCAAGCCCUUCCAGUAAGCCCUGCAAGGUGUGCUGGCCACUGUUCUCUGGAAUCUGUGAGUAAUAAACAAUCUUUUUGCCA